This 11534-nucleotide long non-coding RNA is filed under the name Coffea arabica (coffee). Its description in RNAcentral is "long non-coding RNA (CARA_LNC000477)". Lineage: Eukaryota; Viridiplantae; Streptophyta; Magnoliopsida; Gentianales; Rubiaceae. The record is from RNAcentral.
UCGUCCCUCAAAUUGUCUUGCCAAUAAGUUUCCCAACCACCGCUCCAGAAGAGGGACUGUCCCACGAAGGAAAAACAACCACACUCUCCACAUAGGUGCCCAGAAACCACAACCUGGUCCUUUCCCAACUGGCCCAGUAUUAAAUCGGUAGUAAAUCAAGUGUUUCAAAUCCUUGCACAUUCGUAUCUGCCGCAUAAGCCUGUAUUUAUAUCUGUACAUGCCUGUCAACUGCCCAACAUGCGAAAAAAUAUAUUGCAAGCCAUCUGCCAACUGAAAUGCAUCCACAUUUCCCAAGCGGAACUGGAUAUUUGCAUCAACUACAAGCUUUGUCAACCGAAGUAUUUCACGACAAAGAUGAAAAGCAUUUCCAAAACGAGAUUUCUUGCGCUCCUUUGUAGUAAGAGUCUUCACAGGUUUCAGGUUGAAAUUAUAGUCCAGAUGAAGAUAAUUCAGAUUUUUCCUGUGAAUCAACAAAUUUAACAUAUUGUAACCCUGCUUACAAACUUGGAGCCCAGCUUCAGCCCAAUCAAGUUCUGUAGUUUGGAAAAAUUUUGUGGCUGCAAGAGAACGAAACAGGUGCUUCUUUUUCUGAGCCUUAGGUGGUCUAUGAUGCAGCUGAUUUAACACAAAACACUUCAACAACUUCUGAUAACUCACACGAACUUUGACAGGAUAUGAUGGAGGACUGCAAACAAAAUAAAGCUCAGAAAGAUUAGAACACUUUGAUAAACAUGGAUAGAGGAAAAACAGUAUAUCAGAAGUACAGAUACCAAAACCUACCAGUGUUCCUUAUACCACUCAGAUACAAGCGGUAUAUCUUCAGCUCGUCGCAUACGACCAGAUCUCAUGUUAAAAGGUUGUGGAGCAAAAAGAAGUGAUAUACCAGCAGCAGUAGUAUCAGUAUACAAGGGAGUACUUCUUAGAAAUGGUUCAACCCCUUCAGGUAAUGAAAAGUCAUCAUCCCCCUCAUCCUCAUAAUUCUUCUUCUCCCACCUGUCUUUAUUGGAGCUGGUUAUGGGUGAAUUAGAGGAUCAUAGUAAAAUGCCGGCAGAUCAGGAUCCUCCGUCUUUAUGUGCAUGACCAUAGGGGUGUGAUACACUCCAAGCUUCACCUUCCGGGUCUGUUGUUAUACAAAUGAGGGAAUGCAAUUCUGUACUCUGUCCUUAUAGGUGACCUUAUGAUAAGCUUGUUGAUGUCAUUAAACUCAUUCCAGUCUUCAUCUCCUUUUUCCAUGUCCCGAUACAAAGGUUCAAAUUUAGGGCCACCUGAAGAAAAAUAAAUUACUGAGUUACUGAAGAGAACAAAAUCCAACUAGGAAACAUGAUGAACUUAAGCACAUCUGCAAGUAAAUGUAAAGUUCACUAAAAAGUUGACAAUUUUCCAUAAAUCAUCUCCAGUUUUCAGAAAUCAAAAGAUCAAAUUAAGCGGAGAAUUACCAGGUAUGCACAUGUUCAAUGCUUUGGCAGUAAAAAAUGACUCCAUAUCAAACAGGUAGAAAUAAUUGCGAUCAAUGAGAUCUGAUAGGAGCUGCCCAGCAAGACGAUGAAGCGUUGCCAUGAUUGGGAGGGACAAAUGCCAUUUUCGGUAACUAGGGCCAUUUAUAAGCUUAGUUUUUACAAGAGGCUUAUGAUCAUAAAACCAAGUAUAUACAGCAGAAUCUUCUUCCUCAUCUAACUCCAGCUGAAUUGGCUCCAAAGGAUCCACAUCCAACAGAUUGUCAGCAUAAUCUAGUGGAGGCUCCUCAUCAUCAAAAGGAGGAAACCUCAUCCUCUUGAAAUGCCGCCGAUCUCUCUUCUCCCUUCGCAUCAUAAUCCACAUUGUACCCCACUGCAGUAUUAGUUGAAAGCAAAAUCAAGCACAUAAUUAUUAAGUUGCUAAGUAGAUGUGUAUUACAGGAAACAGAAAAGAGAAAUACAGUGAGAUGAGUCCUCCAAACUAUAAUUUACUAAAUAAGAAGUAUAGCGGCUUGAGCAAAUGUAUAGACAAAAAAGACAUAGUAUAGAACCUAAAGUGUGAGGAUAUACCUGUGCUAGAUAAAUCGGCUCAACAACCCAAGGUAUUUCAUUCACAAAUGUAAUAGCCCCAGUUAUAUGAUAUAAGACCUUCACAUCAUGGACCUAUAAACACAUACAGCAUCAGAAGAUCAAGACAUGGAUUAGAUGUACAGAAAUCAUGGUGACUCAAAUAGCCUGCAAAAAAAGAAGGUGAAAAUCAUAAAGGAGAUAAGUAAUGAUACCUGUUCCCAAGGCAUUGGCAUGUUCUCAAGGAGUUUAUAGACAGCAUGAGGUACAAACUUGAGAGCUCCUAGGUAUACACGUUUAUCAUGUCGAUAUUUUUUUGAGGACAUAUCACCAUGAUCCCUGUAAAAGAGGAAUUGGAAAACCAUUAUGUAUGUAUACCAAGGAAAUAGACAGUGAAACAUCUGACCAUCUAUUGCAGAUAUACAGCUUUUCUAAGACAGCAGUGAAUUGACAUGUAAGUUCAGGAGAGUAAGGUCAGAGACCUGAGUAAUGGAGAAAAGACUAUCAAGAUUGAGCAAUAAGCAUUCAAGGAGGAGAACGUCAAACAUUUAAGAAUGGAUUAUCACAAUGACAAGAAGUCAAAAUCCCCAAACUUCCACCAGGAAAGUGAAAACAUAUAACCCUAAUUUUAGAUAACAAAUACCAAGAAAGCUCACCACCAGUCAAAGCAUUGCCAUAUUAUAGCCAAUCAAAGAUAACAUUACAUACCAAACAGGGAAUAAGAAUUAAAAAUUAGUCACAACAGUAGCGUAGAAAUAUGUUAAGCUAGGACAUACUGAUGCUACUGACAAAAAUGUUGACCAAAACCAUUUGCUGCAGGAAAAUAUAUACUGAAGAUGUCUGAAUUACAUGUUCAUGUCCUAUUACAUAAUACACCACAAAGAGGAACUAAAACUUCAUUAUAUUGAGUUCCCAUCCUGAAAAGAUGAUAGAAGCUACUUCGAUACCUAGGCUAAGACAGUAACAAUAAAAAAAUGCUAUGGAGUUAUCAUUUUAUACAUCAUUGUUUGACAUUAGCCUUUCUAAUGACCCUUUGGCAACUAAUCCUAGUCAAUAACAAUAAUAUGUUAAAAAGGAAUAACUAUAACCAACAUUCCACUUAUUUAGCUAUAGCUCUCAAUUUGUGGCCAGCUAAUGCAUAGCUAAUCUUAAAGUUUUCAAUUGUUCUUAUGGACAUUAAAACAGAAACCUCAUUUGGAGAAAUAUAUAAACAAAUAAGUAUCUGCGUCAAACGACAGUAUAGGCUUUUAUAAAUUUCAGAUUAGUUUAGAGCAAAAUGAUUAAAUCUGUGUUGCAAGAGCUUCCUUCCAUCUUCUUCACUUCACAUAGGUCAUGAAAUAACUUAAAAACGAAUCCAUGCAGCCGCACUUUUUUACAAAAAACCUCCCAUCAAUGGACAGAAUAUUGAUGCAGCAUAGAUGUUAAAUAGGUUAAAACCCUUAGCGUGCAGUUUCAAUUCUCUUUAGAUCAUCGAUUAUUUAAUGUAACUGAAUGUAAAAGAAUGAACAUACAAAUGUGUAACUGAAAGCCAACAGCAACUUACAUGAUUGUCUCAUGGUCAAAGAUUCUCAAUGGAACUUGAAUUCUUGAAGUCAGAGACUAUUACUUGUGAGCCAUUAACCAAGCCAUAUGUUUCUUUAUUUAAAAGGCAAUUAGGAGACUGUACCCUACAACUGCAUCACAUGGACAUAAUUGACCAACUGAACGUAGUCCAAUAAACUCAUGAUAAAAUCCAACAUCCCAACAGUACAUGGAAAAAAUGACCUUAAUCCACGAGUCACGAAUAAUUCCACCAUCCCCAACCCCAUCUUCAAGCCUCACAAUAUCUUACGAGAAACUCAGACCAGUGAAUUCAUCAGACAUUCAACCUUCCAAACAUUCCCCCCCCCCCACCAAAAAAAAAAUGCAUCCAAAUUUUUUUACAAAAAAAAAAAAAAUCAAAGUCAUAGUUGAAAGAAUUCCCAAAAUGCACACAGAACAUUUGUUCCAAGAAACGAUUGACUCAUCAAUAAACACAAUGAUUUCAUACCUCAGCCCUCCGUAAAUCCAUCAAACAGAACUUGCGUUGACAAAAACCAACCUAAUAAGAUAACUAAACUAUCAAAACCAACUAACUAAUCAAAACAAAUACGUAUUCAAACCAAAGUAAGCAAAAACUCACCUUAUAAUUUUCCUCACAUGCUCCGGCGGCAUGUCUUCCUUCUGAGUUUCAACAAAUCCAAACUUCCUCUUGUCACCAUACCUCUUCGAAUUAAGCUGCAUCCAUUUACGAGCCUUCUCCUCGAGCUGCGCCUCAGACGGCAGAACAGUAUAAGAAGCAGGCGGUGGAACAGGUGGAGGAACACCACCACUAGGUCCUGCUCCUCCACUAGUCCCCGGCGGCAUUGACGGCGGAGGUACCCCGGAGGCAGUGGCGCAGCCAUAUUGCCACCACCAGUACCGUCGUUACCACUAUCGCUCCCCACAAAUCUCGCGAAUUUCCAGUAUACAUUCUUCUCUACUGAAUUUACAAACAAACCAUAACUAUUUGACACUGCCUGGAGAGGAAUUCGUGAAUCGAUACAAGAAUCGAGUGAAAUUGGGAGAAAUCUGAUUUCUUAGGGGUUUUUUCUUAAUCUUUUUUUUGCCCUUUUUGAAAACGAAGGAGCUGGAAAGAGCGCGAGCAAUUUGGGGUUUAUAUAGUGAUGGGUGCAUGUGGGGUUAAGGCGGUUAUUGAGGCGGUGCAUCAGACCGGUACCAGCCGAUUUGAUCCCCCAAAAGUGGACUAAGCCACUAUGAGUAUGGUCUGGACCACAUUUGGGCCUCGAUUCUAAAAGCACAGAUCAAUAAAUAAAUGUAUAUAGAUGACAGAAUAACUUCAAACCUGAGGAGACAAUUGAGGAAGUUCAUUUGGCUGUGUAUGCAUCCAUCCCAAAGGCUCCAAAUCGUCGAGGAAGUCAUGCUCUGGAAGAGCUGAUGGCAGAUGCACUUGCUGAUGAGUUGCCCAUUGUGGUGGCAUGGCAAUACAACGAAUUUCCUUCACCUGAGGAUUAUCUGGAGGGCUAAUGCCAUACAUAUAGCCUGCAAUUUGAGUCCGCAAAUCUGCAAUGCAGAUGAACUUCUUCAAUAUGUUUUUGGGCAUAAUGUAAGUGUAGCCAGUUUCCUGCAAAAGAAGCAACACAAUUAUAUCAGAAAAUUGAACCCAAUCUCCCAAACGAAAAAGGUUAAGCAUGUAACUACCUUUAUAUCCUCAGAAUUUACAUAUAUAUGAUUGACUCGGAGAUAAAGAUUUGUCGCUGAAAUUGCUCUAACACGCCAGUCAGUUUUAGAAAUAUAUGGAUUUUGCUCAUAUGGGCUUGUAGUCGUAACAAUCAGUUCAUCCCCAUGGACAUUGGUGGUUUUUGUGGUGACUGCUGUCAGCUGACUUGCUUCCUUGGCCUAAAAACAGGAGAAAAAUGAUCGAGUUAUAUACCAUAACAGCAUUCAGCUGAUCACCUUUCAUGCUAGAUAAGACACAAUCAACACAUAACUCACAUGCUUUUCAACCUCAGCAAUUUGUUGUCGCUGCUGAGAAGGUGGAGUAAUUUCAGCUCCAAGGAUUAUAUCACGAAUCUCAGAUUGUGUAAGCGCUGAAGUGUUCACGUUGUUCUUUUUGGCAUAAUCUGACAAUAUAAGAUCUCUCAAAGCAACCUCAACCUAUAUAACAGAAGUCCACUAUUAGUUGUAGUACUGAAGAAAGAAUCCAACAAAAAUUCAGUCACAGAAACAGAAAAUCAGAUUUUGACGUGCUACUCUUAUUCCAAGAGGAAUAUAAUAGACUGUUCAGUCCUCUUUUUGGGCAUGGAUUGUCUUUUAUUUUUGGGUACAUACUUCUCUCUUUACUGAAGGAAUAUUUCAGUGAAGUAAGUUUACCUUCAUCCACUGAUCAUCUGUAAGAGAGGGCCAAACGUGAUGUGGUUCAGUGACAAUUGUCUUGUCAGGCUUCAGUAACAUCUUUGCCUUCUCAUUGCUCACAUGGAGUGCACGCAAGAUUAGAAUCAAUCUGGAGAAAGCCGUAUAUGAUGAAAUACUUUUGAGCCAAUCAUCGUAGAUGUUAAACAAAACCAUUUGUGGUUCUGUAGCUUUCAGUAUCAGAUCACCAAAUUUCUCAAUUUUCAAGCAUGCUUGGAAUGGUAGUUGAAGCUCACUUCCUUUAAUGACAAUAUUUGGAAAGUCCAGCAGGUGAACCUCCAAGGGAUCCAACAUUCCCUUACGAGUGACAAUGAUCUGCUUUGGCUGUUCUUCAACAGGUAAAGAACGUACAAGGGCCGCUACUUCUUCGGCAGUCUUCCACUUGGCCAGCUGUCCUAAACGCUUUUGCCCAGCCCAAACACUAGUGUGAAUAACCUGCAAAAGGCAAACAUCAAUCGCAUGCCAGAAAAACAAAGAAAAGAACCACCAUGAGUAAUGCCAAAAAGCAAACCUUGAGAAAUAGCUGCCCUGUCCUCGGAUUGAAGAUGAAGAUGGCACCAUUGAUGGGUUUUGUAGUUAGAUUGCCUUCAAAGGUCUUGUGAAUUGUCACCCUGUAGACAUUAGUGUCAUCAACGAACCAGAUUAUCUGGUUACUGAAGAUUUCACCGUAAUUUUGAGAUGACAGGUAUGGCUCUGUUGGCUCUGAAGAAUACAGUUGUAAGCCUUUCCUUAUUCGUUCCCUCAAAACAUAUAAAGCAGGAUUUGACUGCAUACAGAAAAUGGACAGCUUGUGAUCUUUGUAUGAAAAAUCAUAAAUGAAUCAAGAGAAAAUAAGUACCAACAACAUUCCAAUGAAGUCCAAAAAUUUAAUGCACCUUCAUGAUUUUAUUCAUGGCCUGAGCGAGCAACGGUUUAGAGCCGGGGAACCAGUUACCAAAUGCGGAAUGCAAGUUGUAAGCAAGAUCAAUCCCAAUCAUUACCCCUGGAAAGAGCAAUAGACUAUCAAGAUUGUGAAGAGAGAGAAAGUGAGAGAGAGAAGCUAUUCUAAAACCUAUGCUGAUGACGUACCAGUUGGUGAAGGAUAUAUAGACAUGUUGUCUGUGGUGUAAUCCAUAAAUUUUGCCCUAGUGUACCGCUCAAUGUCAUGAGAGUCAUAAUCACCCCAACGAAGCUGAACAUCUAUCCAAUAUUUAUUGCUAGCCUUCUGAUCAAAAACAUCCUUAGACUCGGCCACAAGACUAGGCUUUGACAUAGGCCAUCUAUGGGCCGCAAAAAGAAUAAUGUCAGCACAAGAGCUGUUCAUUUUGUAGCUUUUUCUUGGAUGGAUAGUUUCCUUCUGCACAGUCUCAAUUUCCAAUGCAUCAAGUUCUUGAUCUAAGACCUGGCAAAGAUCCAUCACAACGCUUUCAUGAAUCUUCUGCCACAAGUGAGCACGGAAUAUCUGUAUUAGAGAUAUCUUCAAAGUUGGGAUCUUUCCAUGCAUAAAUAUCCCUGUCAAAUCCAGCUGCACUUGGAAACCAACAUAAACAUUUGCUCGAUUUAUUGUGGGUGACCACCAAAGCGUAAAUCUACGGUUAGGGAUUUGGUUGAGCCCAGAUCUCUGUGCAUUCGUUAGCUUCUUAUACUUCAUGGAUUCCUCAAAACCUGAUGCCUUUUCCCAGAAGAGACCCUCCCAAGUAGGGAAGCUGAAAUGACAAGGUAAACAAAUCAGAUCCAGGAAUGGCUAAGAACAAAUGAACGCACACAAUCAAACAGGAGAUGUGCUCAGGCAACUCAACUAGCCAAUAAACAUACCCAGUAUCGACUAGUAAGAUAUCCGAGCACAAAGGGGAGAGAGAGAGAGAGAGAGAGAGAGAGAGAGAGAGAGAGAAAUUCUAGACAGCCUGAGCAACAGAGAAAAUGUUUCUUGCAAACUAAUGACCAGACAAUGGAAUCUGGGACUUUUUUAUUUUUAAACACUUCUCUUCUUUUUUUUUUUUUUUUGGGAAAACAUGGAGUUUCCCUUUCACAUCAGAUGAUGACAUCUUAAUACCAUGGAUUAAAAAAUAAAUAAACACACACACAUAUGAAGUAAAAGGUUACAAGAAUAGUCCAUGUGGUGCAGAAGUAGGCAGGAAUGAGACCCAAGUAGUCAAAUGAAGAAAUAUAUUUGAGACUUACUAUGUCCCUUUGAACAAUGUGUGCUCCAGAAUUCCUUCAACUCCUCCUAGUGCCUGAAUAACAUCAGUUCUGUAAUUGUUCAAGUUCCAUAGCUUACCAUCAUGCCUCUGGUGCGUCCACCAAAACGGGUUCUGUUUCAGAACUUGAUAUUGCUUAAAAUCUGUUCUCACUCUCCAUCCCUUGUCAUAUGCAAGGGUGUGUCUAUCUUUCUGGAAUAAAGUGUUGAUUCGAGGAAUUCCACGGUCCCAUGAAUCCUGUAAAUAAUUAAUAAAAUAUUAGAAGUAUUGGAGUAAAUAAAGAAGAGCUAAAUGAAGCAUCGCACAGUUGAUGCUAGUUUGUGUCCUUUUCAACAAGAUCACAACAAUUAACAGGCCCACAGCACAAACUAAAUGAAACAAUUUUCUGUGCAAGCACUAUGUAAUUAACAAACCUGACUUAAACAAGGCAAUGGAGAUAAUAAUAAGGUCCUGAUUAAUUAGUAUAAAGUCUUUAAUUCAUACAUAAAACACAAUAAAAAAGGAAUUUAUGAAUCCAAAUUAUCAGCAAUACUUACUUCCAGAUCUUCAAGAGUCAAACGCCUGUUCUGUGCCUGAGACUCUUGUCUCUUUAAUGCAUAUUCAGCCCAAACUCGCUGUGAAUCUAUGAAUUCACUCUCCCAUGGCUGUCACAAUAUUAAGGCAGAGUUUAGAGGAGUUUAGUUACAGCAAAUAAAGAAUAAAGAACAUUGCAACAUACACAACCAUGAUACCUGUAUAUAGCGAUAAAGAUUGGGAAUCAACUGGUCUUCUUCAUGACUCAUUCCACUCCUGAAAUGUGUCACACCUACAUCUGUCUGCUGACUGUAUCGGAGAUCACUCUGUGGAAUCAAUAUGUGACCCAUUGACAACAUCCCUAGUCCCCCAAUUUCCUUCGGUGUAUAAAAAAUAACAGGAGGAAACCUAUAUGAAGGACUCAUUUUAGACUAAAGCAAACAGCAAUAUUAUAGGAGAAAAAGUUAUAACAAAAUAAACCCAGAAUGAUUGAACUUUACCUGCUUGGCAUUUUUGAAUUUAAACCAAUCUUAAUACGGGUCUGAAUUUUAUUUUCACAUUUAACCAGUAAAUCCAGCAAUUCCUGUGUAUGAAUAGUUGCUUCCCGGAAAUAUGUCAUUAGACCUGUCAUAUUAAAAUCAAAGUACAUCACCUCAAAAGUAGCACAGGAUAGAAGCACAUGUGAGUUAGGACAAGCACAUUAAUUCAAGAGGAGGGAAUGUUUUGGUACCUAUCAAAGCUGUAUUCCAUUUGUUGACAAUUUUGGUGAACGUUGUAGAACCUGAUGACAUAAGAAUCUGCCUCACACGAUUUUCAAAAACCUUCAUGUGCUCAUCAUCAACACGUAAGAAAGCAACAGCAGUACGCUCUUUAGUCUGCUCAUUCUGCAAGUUCCAAACCCCAUCUCGAGUAUUGCUGAAAGCUUCUUGACUCAUCCUUAUCUUUGGCAGUAUACGAACCUCAAAACCACACAUGCUGAAAAGCAAGUUGGGAUUAUCUUUGCUGUAAACAGAGACAAAGCUGCUCUCCCAUUCUAAUGUGGUAAUGCUUCUAGGAAGACGAUUCUUCAUGUCCCAGAACACACUUCUCCCAAGAUUGACUGGAUUAAAAGAUUGAGCAAAUAUCAAAUAAGUAUUCGGAUGAAACCUGUAAAAAAGAAGUUAAAAAUGAAAAUUCAACAGAACUCACCAUCAUGCUUCAUAAGCCUCAUGCGUGCAUCUCUUGGCCAGCACUUCUUGUUGUUAUAACCCACCAUAUUCUCAUUAUUGGGAUCAGGAUGUUCAGUAAGGUACCGCUGGAUAAGGUCCCGUGCCUCUUCCUGAGUAAAUUGAAACAAUAUGUGCACCUUAUCAAUGUAACGGGAGUACAAUCUUAUGGGGUGUCGUGUCUCCACGGUAGUGUCCCAGUAAGUUAUGAACUCAUUCGGCAUCUGUGGAGGACCAGCAAUUUCACUGGCUCGAGUCAAACCAAGAAGCAAAAGAUCCAGCACUAGUCCAUAGUACUGUACAACAAAAGAAGCAAAUUGGAGACCACGAAUAAGGCCAUAGGAGUUGGUAUGACUCAUAUCCUUAUAGGACAGCACAACAUUGUUCUUGGCCGUGACAUAAUCAGCAAUAUUGUGAUCAAGAACCAACCUUAGAAGCCUAUUUAGCAUGGUCAAAUCAAUUUUUUCAAAGAAUUUCUCCAAUUUGGUUUGAAGCAUCACAACACAUUGACCUUCACUUGUAUCCCAAAUGCCUUGCAAGUUAUUUAUGCCCUGACACCAUUUAUAGACCAACAAUGGGGGUGGCUCUGAAUCAGCUGGCUUUAUCCAAUUUGGAAACAAGUGGCGCUUGUCACCUUCAUACCAGAGAUAUUGGUCAAGAUAUGCAUCUGUUAUCUUCUCAAGGGGUUCAAUCUCAUAAACCGGUAUCAAAUAGCUGUAUAAAUCCAUGAACUCAAUACCAACUUCUUUGAAGGCACGCUGGGUCAGAAGAUGACGUUUAAUCCGUGACAAAGCCUCGUGUGGAUUAUCAUAUGCUUGUUCAAUGAGACCCAACUCUUCUCUUUGUAGUUGAUUUAACCUCACAGCCACGCUAUAAGAUUCUUUCAACCUUUCAAGGGCAAGGAUAAGAAGCUUCGUAUCAUGCUUGUAUGACAAGGGAGGGAAUGGAAUAGGUGAGAAUUUUCUUGACUCCAACCAGUGGACAGUGGUUGUGUAAACGGCCACAGCUUCUUCAGGUGUCACAUAUGGGCCAUCUUUUAGAUAAUUGUGCUGACGUUCCUGUUCUGCUUUAAGCCAAAGACGGGUCAAUCUUCCAAGGUUCUUACGACAGACUGUUUUGUCUACAGUUGCACCUCUUCGUAUGCGUUCACGAUUAUAAUGAGCGACAUUUGUCCACCAAUCAGCUUUUGACUUAACAUAGCGGAGAAUCAUGUUCUCAAUUGGAACAGGCAGACCAGGCACCUUCCAGGGAAUAUUGGCUUUCCAGCAACGCCAAGCUUCACUUAGAUGCUGCAAGAUCGUUCUUGACUUAUUUUGCUUAAUGCCUUCUGGCAUGGCAUCAAGAACAUCAUGCAUUACAGCAGCACGAAGCUCCAAAUCAAAAUGGCUUUCGACACGCUGCUUGGUAACAGUUUUUGCGACCCCUUUAGAAUGUCGUCCCUCAAAUUGUCUUGCCAAUAAGUUUCCCAACCACCGCUCGAGAAGAGGGACUGUCCCACGAAGGAAAAACAACCACACUCUCCACAUAGGUGCCCAAAAACCACAGCCUGGUCCUUUCCCAACUGGCCCAGUAUUAAAUCGGUAGUAAAUCAAGUGUUUCAAAUCCUUGCACAUUCGUAUCUGCCGCAUAAGCCUGUAUUUAUAUCUGUACAUACCUGUCAACUGCCCAACAUGCGAAAAAAUAUAUUG